Non-coding RNA from Karstenula rhodostoma CBS 690.94, 72 nucleotides. The record is from the annotation of a GenBank genome assembly. Lineage: Eukaryota; Fungi; Ascomycota; Dothideomycetes; Pleosporales; Didymosphaeriaceae.
UCCGAUAUGGUCUAGUGGCUAGGAUACAUCGCUCUCACCGAUGUGGCCCGGGUUCGAUUCCCGGUGUCGGAA